Molecule: transfer RNA, 90 nt
Filed under: Paracoccus marinaquae
Lineage: Bacteria; Pseudomonadati; Pseudomonadota; Alphaproteobacteria; Rhodobacterales; Paracoccaceae
Description: tRNA-Ser
Rfam family: tRNA
About the family: Transfer RNA (tRNA) molecules are approximately 80 nucleotides in length.
Source: RNAcentral
GGAGAGGUGCCGGAGUGGUCGAACGGGGCGGUCUCGAAAACCGUUGACCCUUUGCGGGGUCCCAGGGUUCGAAUCCCUGUCUCUCCGCCA